UGAGGAAUAUUGCGCAAUGGACGGAAGUCUGACGCAGCAAUGCCGCGUGCGGGAAGAAGGUGCUAUGCAUCGUAAACCGCUGUAGCGUGGGGCAAAAAGCACCUUAUGGGUGUGAGAUGGUACCACGAAAGUAAGCAUCGGCUAACUACGUG
RNAcentral lists this ribosomal RNA (152 nucleotides) under uncultured bacterium. Its description in RNAcentral is "partial 16S ribosomal RNA". It matches the Rfam family "Bacterial small subunit ribosomal RNA", at positions 355 to 507 of the family's 1533-position model. The record is from RNAcentral.